AAAACCAAUCUAUUUACACAAAACACCACACCACAAUCGGCUUACUAUGCCCACACAAAACCACAAGCAGGCUCCAAAACAUGCACAAUACCCUUCCCUGGCCCUUUUGUCCUCUGGUAUCCCACUUAUGGAGACACCAGAGACACAUCACAAUCAAACACAGCGCAAGCAUGUUAAUAAAUGUACUUGCGCUGCUCAGAAC
Non-coding RNA from Pelobates cultripes (western spadefoot toad), 202 nucleotides. The record is from the annotation of a GenBank genome assembly. Lineage: Eukaryota; Metazoa; Chordata; Amphibia; Anura; Pelobatidae.